This 497-nucleotide ribosomal RNA is filed under the name uncultured bacterium. Its description in RNAcentral is "partial 16S ribosomal RNA". It matches the Rfam family "Bacterial small subunit ribosomal RNA", at positions 28 to 507 of the family's 1533-position model. The record is from RNAcentral.
GAUGAACGCUGGCGGCGUGCCUAAUACAUGCAAGUCGAGCGAACGGACGAGAAGCUUGCUUCCCUGAUGUUAGCGGCGGACGGGUGAGUAACACGUGGAUAACCUACCUAUAAGACUGGGAUAACUUCGGGAAACCGGAGCUAAUACCGGAUAAUAUUUUGAACCGCAUGGUUCAAAAGUGAAAGACGGUCUUGCUGUCACUUAUAGAUGGAUCCGCGCUGCAUUAGCUAGUUGGUAAGGUAACGGCUUACCAAGGCAACGAUGCAUAGCCGACCUGAGAGGGUGAUCGGCCACACUGGAACUGAGACACGGUCCAGACUCCUACGGGAGGCAGCAGUAGGGAAUCUUCCGCAAUGGGCGAAAGCCUGACGGAGCAACGCCGCGUGAGUGAUGAAGGUCUUCGGAUCGUAAAACUCUGUUAUUAGGGAAGAACAUAUGUGUAAGUAACUGUGCACAUCUUGACGGUACCUAAUCAGAAAGCCACGGCUAACUAUGUG